This 462-nucleotide ribosomal RNA is filed under the name uncultured bacterium. Its description in RNAcentral is "partial 16S ribosomal RNA". It matches the Rfam family "Bacterial small subunit ribosomal RNA", at positions 28 to 507 of the family's 1533-position model. The record is from RNAcentral.
GACGAACGCUGGCGGCGUGCUUAACACAUGCAAGUCGAACGGAAAGGCCCUUCGGGGUACUCGAGUGGCGAAAGGGUGAGUAACACGUGGGUGAUCUGCCCUGCACUUUGGGAUAAGCCUGGGAAACUGGGUCUAAUACCGAAUAGGACCACGCGCUUCAUGGUGUGUGGUGGAAAGCUUUUGCGGUGUGGGAUGGGCCCGCGGCCUAUCAGCUUGUUGGUGGGGUAAUGGCCUACCAAGGCGACGACGGGUAGCCGGCCUGAGAGGGUGACCGGGCACACUGGGACUGAGAUACGGCCCAGACUCCUACGGGAGGCAGCAGUGGGGAAUAUUGCACAAUGGGCGCAAGCCUGAUGCAGCGACGCCGCGUGAGGGAUGACGGCCUUCGGGUUGUAAACCUCUUUCAAUAGGGACGAAGCGCAAGUGACGGUACCUAUAGAAGAAGCACCGGCCAACUACGUG